RNAcentral lists this ribosomal RNA (495 nucleotides) under uncultured bacterium. RNAcentral's name for it is "partial 16S ribosomal RNA". It matches the Rfam family "Bacterial small subunit ribosomal RNA", at positions 28 to 507 of the family's 1533-position model. The record is from RNAcentral.
GACGAACGCUGGCGGCGUGCCUAAUACAUGCAAGUAGAACGCUGAAGGAGGAGCUUGCUUCUCUGGAUGAGUUGCGAACGGGUGAGUAACGCGUAGGUAACCUGCCUGGUAGCGGGGGAUAACUAUUGGAAACGAUAGCUAAUACCGCAUAAUAGUGGAUGUCGCAUGACAUUUGCUUAAAAGGUGCAAUUGCAUCACUACCAGAUGGACCUGCGUUGUAUUAGCUAGUUGGUGAGGUAACGGCUCACCAAGGCAACGAUACAUAGCCGACCUGAGAGGGUGAUCGGCCACACUGGGACUGAGACACGGCCCAGACUCCUACGGGAGGCAGCAGUAGGGAAUCUUCGGCAAUGGACGGAAGUCUGACCGAGCAACGCCGCGUGAGUGAAGAAGGUUUUCGGAUCGUAAAGCUCUGUUGUAAGAGAAGAACGAGUGUGAGAGUGGAAAGUUCACACUGUGACGGUAUCUUACCAGAAAGGGACGGCUAACUACGUG